RNAcentral lists this transfer RNA (78 nucleotides) under Alphaproteobacteria bacterium. Its description in RNAcentral is "tRNA-Val". It matches the Rfam family "tRNA". Rfam says of the family: Transfer RNA (tRNA) molecules are approximately 80 nucleotides in length. Their secondary structure includes four short double-helical elements and three loops (D, anti-codon, and T loops). Further hydrogen bonds mediate the characteristic L-shaped molecular structure. tRNAs have two regions of fundamental functional importance: the anti-codon, which is responsible for specific mRNA codon recognition, and the 3' end, to which the tRNAs corresponding amino acid is attached (by aminoacyl-tRNA synthetases). tRNAs cope with the degeneracy of the genetic code in two manners: having more than one tRNA (with a specific anti-codon) for a particular amino acid; and 'wobble' base-pairing, i.e. permitting non-standard base-pairing at the 3rd anti-codon position. RNAcentral also lists the same sequence under 1 other name. Lineage: Bacteria; Pseudomonadati; Pseudomonadota; Alphaproteobacteria. The record is from RNAcentral.
GGGAGCAUAGCUCAGUCGGUUCAGAGCACCUGCCUUACAAGCAGGGGGUCACAGGUUCGAAUCCUGUUGCUCCCACCA